CGACCCUCAAGCACAGCUUGGUGUUGGACGGUUUAGCCUUGGUGACGAGGCCCGUUUUAAAGUCAAUGACGGCGGCCUGUUCGACCCCCGGUACACCGAGCUUCUUAACUAAGCACGUAUCGGUUGAAGGGUAGGCAGGACCCGGUCUUCUUCCUUAACCGGAAACUUUUUCCAA
Molecule: unclassified non-coding RNA, 175 nt
Filed under: uncultured Herpotrichiellaceae
Lineage: Eukaryota; Fungi; Ascomycota; Eurotiomycetes; Chaetothyriales; Herpotrichiellaceae
Description: sequence contains ITS2
Source: RNAcentral